GAUGAACGCUGGCGGCGUGCCUAAUACAUGCAAGUCGAGCGAACGGACGAGAAGCUUGCUUCUCUGAUGUUAGCGGCGGACGGGUGAGUAACACGUGGAUAACCUACCUAUAAGACUGGGAUAACUUCGGGAAACCGGAGCUAAUACCGGAUAAUAUUUUGAACCGCAUGGUUCAAAAGUGAAAGACGGUCUUGCUGUCACUUAUAGAUGGAUCCGCGCUGCAUUAGCUAGUUGGUAAGGUAACGGCUUACCAAGGCAACGAUGCAUAGCCGACCUGAGAGGGUGAUCGGCCACACUGGAACUGAGACACGGUCCAGACUCCUACGGGAGGCAGCAGUAGGGAAUCUUCCGCAAUGGGCGAAAGCCUGACGGAGCAACGCCGCGUGAGUGAUGAAGGUCUUCGGAUCGUAAAACUCUGUUAUUAGGGAAGAACAUAUGUGUAAGUAACUGUGCACAUCUUGACGGUACCUAAUCAGAAAGCCACGGCUAACUACAUGCCAGCAGCCGCGGUAAUACGUAGGUGGCAAGCGUUAUCCGGAAUUAUUGGGCGUAAAGCGCGCGUAGGCGGUUUUUUAAGUCUGAUGUGAAAGCCCACGGCUCAACCGUGGAGGGUCAUUGGAAACUGGAAAACUUGAGUGCAGAAGAGGAAAGUGGAAUUCCAUGUGUAGCGGUGAAAUGCGCAGAGAUAUGGAGGAACACCAGUGGCGAGGGCGACUUUCUGGUCUGUAACUGACGCUGAUGUGCGAAAGCGUGGGGAUCAAACAGGAUUAGAUACCCUGGUAGUCCACGCCGUAAACGAUGAGUGCUAAGUGUUAGGGGGUUUCCGCCCCUUAGUGCUGCAGCUAACGCAUUAAGCACUCCGCCUGGGGAGUACGACCGCAAGGUUGGAACUCAAAGGAAUUGACGGGGACCCGCACAAGCGGUGGAGCAUGUGGUUUAAUUCGAAGCAACGCGAAGAACCUUACCAAAUCUUGACAUCCUUUGACAACUCUAGAGAUAGAGCCUUCCCCUUCGGGGGACAAAGUGACAGGUGGUGCAUGGUUGUCGUCAGCUCGUGUCGUGAGAUGUUGGGUUAAGUCCCGCAACGAGCGCAACCCUUAAGCUUAGUUGCCAUCAUUAAGUUGGGCACUCUAAGUUGACUGCCGGUGACAAACCGGAGGAAGGUGGGGAUGACGUCAAAUCAUCAUGCCCCUUAUGAUUUGGGCUACACACGUGCUACAAUGGACAAUACAAAGGGCAGCGAAACCGCGAGGUCAAGCAAAUCCCAUAAAGUUGUUCUCAGUUCGGAUUGUAGUCUGCAACUCGACUACAUGAAGCUGGAAUCGCUAGUAAUCGUAGAUCAGCAUGCUACGGUGAAUACGUUCCCGGGUCU
Molecule: ribosomal RNA, 1372 nt
Filed under: uncultured bacterium
Lineage: Bacteria
Description: bacterial SSU rRNA
Rfam family: Bacterial small subunit ribosomal RNA
Source: RNAcentral